RNAcentral lists this unclassified non-coding RNA (214 nucleotides) under Hevea brasiliensis (rubber tree). Lineage: Eukaryota; Viridiplantae; Streptophyta; Magnoliopsida; Malpighiales; Euphorbiaceae. The record is from RNAcentral.
GUUAAAAAGAACUUCGAAAUAUGACACGAAGGAAAAAUCUGCAAACGAUGCCAGGCCCUUGGCUGUCAAGUCUGGAAAGCAGCCAAGUGUAUCAGAUCAUGCAGUCAUUACCAAGGAUCCUGAAAGUCAGAAUGAGAGUACUUCAGGGAAGAAUGACCAAAUGGACGUUCCUCCUUUCUGUAGCACUGAAGAAGCGCCAGAGGGCUCAGUUUUA